Molecule: ribosomal RNA, 915 nt
Filed under: uncultured archaeon
Lineage: Archaea
Description: bacterial SSU rRNA
Rfam family: Archaeal small subunit ribosomal RNA
Source: RNAcentral
UCCGGUUGAUCCUGCCRGACCCGGCUGCUAUCAGAGUGAGAUUAAGCCAUGCGAGUCAACGUAUGAAUAAUACGUGGCGAACGGCUCAGUAACACGUAGUCAACAUGCCCAGAGGACGUGGAUAACCUCGGGAAACUGAGGAUAAAUCGCGAUAGGUCAUAAUUACUGGAAUGUGUUAUGGCCCAAAUCUAUAUGGCCUCUGGAUUGGACUGCGGCCGAUCAGGCUGUUGGUGAGGUAAUGGCCCACCAAACCUUUUACCGGUACGGGCUCUGAGAGGAGGAGCCCGGAGAUGGGCACUGAGACAAGGGCCCAGGCCCUAUGGGGCGCAGCAGGCGCGAAACCUCUGCAAUAGGCGAAAGCCUGACAGGGUUACUCUGAGUGAUUCCCGCUAAGGGAAUCUUUUGGCAUCUCUAAAAAUGGUGCAGAAUAAGGGGUGGGCAAGUCUGGUGUCAGCCGCCGCGGUAAUACCAGCACCCCGAGUGGUCGGGACGAUUAUUGGGCCUAAAGCAUCCGUAGCCGGUCUUGCAAGUCUUCCGUUAAAUCCAGCUGCUUAACAGAUGGGCUGCGGAGGAUACUACAAGGCUAGGAGGCGGGAGAGGCAAGCGGUACUCAGUGGGUAGGGGUAAAAUCCUCUGAUCCUUUGAAGACCACCAGUGGCGAAGGCGGCUUGCCAGAACGCGCUCGACGGUGAGGGAUGAAAGCUGGGGGAGCAAACCGGAUUAGAUACCCGGGUAGUCCCAGCUGUAAACGAUGCAGACUCGGUGAUGGGCCGGCUUUAUGCCGGCUCAGUGCCGCAGGGAAGCCGUUAAGUCUGCCGCCUGGGGAGUACGGUCGCAAGACUGAAACUUAAAGGAAUUGGCGGGGGAGCACCACAAGGGGUGAAGCCUGCGGUUCAAUUGGAUUCAACGCCGGRA